AUUGAACGCUGGCGGCAUGCUUUACACAUGCAAGUCGAACGGCAGCGCGGGCUUCGGCCUGGCGGCGAGUGGCGAACGGGUGAGUAAUACAUCGGAACGUGCCCAGUAGUGGGGGAUAGCUCGGCGAAAGCCGGAUUAAUACCGCAUACGACCUGAGGGUGAAAGCGGGGGAUCUUCGGACCUCGCGCUAUUGGAGCGGCCGAUGGCAGAUUAGCUAGUUGGUGGGGUAAAGGCCUACCAAGGCGACGAUCUGUAGCUGGUCUGAGAGGACGACCAGCCACACUGGGACUGAGACACGGGCCAGACUCCUACGGGAGGCAGCAGUGGGGAAUUUUGGACAAUGGGCGAAAGCCUGAUCCAGCAAUGCCGCGUGUGUGAUGAAGGCCUUCGGGUUGUAAAGCACUUUUGGCGGGAACGAAAAGGACUGUGCCAAUACCACGGUUCGAUGACGGUACCCGCAGAAUAAGCACCGGCUAACUACGUG
RNAcentral lists this ribosomal RNA (484 nucleotides) under uncultured bacterium. Its description in RNAcentral is "partial 16S ribosomal RNA". It matches the Rfam family "Bacterial small subunit ribosomal RNA", at positions 29 to 507 of the family's 1533-position model. The record is from RNAcentral.